AUCACAAAACACUGUUAAUAGUUCUAUUCGAGUUCUGAGAGAAGAGAGCUCAUUAUGGGCUAGUGUGUUCCGGAAAGGCAUCAUGGAAAAGGUGGGCAUAGAAAAGCUAUGCAUUAAAAGACCCAGCUUUAUGGAGCAGGAUGGGAAGGAAGAAGCUUGAGCUCAAACUCAAUCCGCAAGACCCAGCUCUGCAGAGCAGGAUGGGAAGGAAGAAGCCUGAACUCAUCACCAAAUAUACAGACCAUUUAUGUGCCAUCACAUGCUGCCACCACGUCAUGCGCCACACAUCACAUGCAACACUCAAAAA
Long non-coding RNA from Dromiciops gliroides (monito del monte), 307 nucleotides. RefSeq lists it as uncharacterized. The transcript is spliced from 3 exons. The record is from RefSeq and is a predicted model, not a curated record. Lineage: Eukaryota; Metazoa; Chordata; Mammalia; Microbiotheria; Microbiotheriidae.